AACGAACGCUGGCGGCAGGCCUAACACAUGCAAGUCGAACGCCCUAGUAAUAGGGAGUGGCAGACGGGUGAGUAACACGUGGGAACCUUCCCUAUAGUACGGAAUAGCCCAGGGAAACUUGGAGUAAUACCGUAUAAAGCCCGAGAGGGGAAAGAUUUAUCGCUAUAGGAUGGGCCCGCGUAGGAUUAGCUAGUUGGUGAGGUAACGGCUCACCAAGGCAACGAUCCUUAGCUGGUUUGAGAGAAUGACCAGCCACACUGGGACUGAGACACGGCCCAGACUCCUACGGGAGGCAGCAGUGGGGAAUCUUGGACAAUGGGCGCAAGCCUGAUCCAGCCAUGCCGCGUGAGUGAUGAAGGCCUUAGGGUUGUAAAGCUCUUUUGCCGGGGACGAUAAUGACGGUACCCGGAGAAUAAGUCCCGGCUAACUUCGUGCCAGCAGCCGCGGUAAAG
This 452-nucleotide ribosomal RNA is filed under the name uncultured bacterium. RNAcentral's name for it is "bacterial SSU rRNA". It matches the Rfam family "Bacterial small subunit ribosomal RNA", at positions 29 to 525 of the family's 1533-position model. The record is from RNAcentral.